This 450-nucleotide ribosomal RNA is filed under the name uncultured bacterium. RNAcentral describes it as "bacterial SSU rRNA". It matches the Rfam family "Bacterial small subunit ribosomal RNA", at positions 36 to 507 of the family's 1533-position model. The record is from RNAcentral.
GUGGCGGUCGCGGGAAUUCGAGUGGAUCCCGCGACGAGCACAUGCAUGAUUGAGCGCUCGUAGCAUUACGGAAGCGGCAGACGGGAGAGUAACACGUGGGAACGUACCCUUCGGUUCGGAAUAACCCAGGGAAACUUGGGCUAAUACCGGAUACGUCCGUAAGGAGAAAGAUUUAUCGCCGAGGGAUCGGCCCGCGUCCGAUUAGCUUGUUGGUGGGGUAAUGGCCCACCAAGGCGACGAUCGGUAGCUGGUCUGAGAGGAUGAUCAGCCUCACUGGGACUGAGACACGGCCCAGACUCCUACGGGAGGCAGCAGUGGGGAAUAUUGGACAAUGGGCGCAAGCCUGAUCCAGCCAUGCCGCGUGGGUGAUGAAGGCCCUAGGGUUGUAAAGCCCUUUCGGCGGGGAAGAUAAUGACGGUACCCGCAGAAGAAGCCCCGGCUAACUUCGUG